Molecule: ribosomal RNA, 255 nt
Filed under: uncultured bacterium
Lineage: Bacteria
Description: partial 16S ribosomal RNA
Rfam family: Bacterial small subunit ribosomal RNA
Source: RNAcentral
GACGUAGGGCGCGAGCGUUGUCCGGAUUUAUUGGGCGUAAAGAGCUCGUAGGCGGCUUGUUGCGUCGACCGUGAAAACCCGGGGCUCAACUUCGGGCUUGCGGUCGAUACGGGCGGGCUAGAGUUCGGUAGGGGAGACUGGAAUUCCUGGUGUAGCGGUGAAAUGCGCAGAUAUCAGGAGGAACACCGGUGGCGAAGGCGGGUCUCUGGGGCCGAUACUGACGCUGAGGAGCGAAAGCGUGGGGGAGCGAACAGG